UGCCGCGCGCCGCCGACCCACACCGCCCCCGCCCCUGACCCGCCCCCGCCACUGACCCGCCCCUCCCCGGCCCUGUGCGCCACCGCCGCCUCGCCGCAUCUCGCACGGACGCCGAAGCCUAGGAGGAGGAGGAGGAGGGACCGGAAGACAAGAGGAGGAGAAGAGCAGACCGCCGCCUCGUCGCAUCCCCGCCCCUGGCCCGCCCCUCCCUCACUGUGCGUCUUCGUCUCCUCUUGCGGACUGCGGUGGCAGCCGCCGGCGAUCCCCGAUCGGCGACACUCAGCUGAACGCUGCUAAAGUCAUUGCUGUUGGCCCUGGUGAUCGUGAUAGGGAUGGUAAGCUGAUCCCUGUAUCUCUAAGUGAAGGCGACACUAUUCUGCUUCCGGACUAUGGUGGAACAAAGGUGAAGCUUGCUGAAAGAGUAUGUUAACAUAUGCAUGUCAUUUUGACUUGGCACUAUAUUCUCUCUCCCCUCCCUUUUCUGUUGUUGUUGCUUUGUACACCUAAAUCAGAGAAUUCAAGAACAGAAACACCUGGAUAUUUGUCAUUGACGGUCUUCUUGCCCGAA
This is a long non-coding RNA of Sorghum bicolor (sorghum), 568 nucleotides long. RefSeq lists it as uncharacterized. The transcript has 2 exons. Lineage: Eukaryota; Viridiplantae; Streptophyta; Magnoliopsida; Poales; Poaceae. The record is from RefSeq and is a predicted model, not a curated record.